CCCUUCUCAGUAUCACAAAUGGAGAGUUUCCAGUACUCUGCCAACCUUGGCUAUGGGAGGGAGAGACAAGCAGAGUCAUAUCCAUUUCAUUCCUAGCUUGGGCAGUGGCUAGGUAGUGGAAGGUAAUCUGCUACAAGU
Molecule: small nucleolar RNA, 138 nt
Organism: Tachyglossus aculeatus (Australian echidna)
Lineage: Eukaryota; Metazoa; Chordata; Mammalia; Monotremata; Tachyglossidae
Source: RefSeq, a predicted model, not a curated record